AAAUUUGGUCAGAAAGUUUUAGUGCGUAAGCUUUUAGUGCAAACUAUUUUUUCCCCUAGAUUAACAGUAACAACAACAUAAGUUGGUGACAAAGGCGAAUUUAUUAUGUUUUAACUGAGUUUCUAACUAACUCUAGCUAGUCUGGAGAUCAAUUUUAAUGUCAAAAAUUCUAAAUAUUGGAUAAUUGCAAUAAAUAUGAACUCAAUAAUCAACUCUCUAAAGUAAAGGGGUACGUUCCUUGCCGUCAUGAGCUCCCACCCUCGCUUCCUGCUUAACUUUGACGAUGGCGAUAGCAUCUGGUGCAAUCUGGACGAAGUCCGACGCGUACCGCUUCGACGAGAGCAAGUUGGUUGUAUGGUGUGGGGCCGCUGGUCAGAUGGGCGCUACUUCCUCGGGCGCGUAACUGACGUGAGAGAUGGCAAGAUCCAUGUGACCUUCGACGAUGGCGACAACAUAUCACAUGACCUUGGUGACGUAAGCGCGGUGAUCGUGGACCUUGUACCCAACCCCACGCACGUGCCAAUCGGUGCACGAGUGAUCGCCGCAUUCGAGGGGCGUUGCCAUUACUAUAAAGGGCGUGUGACGCAGAUAGAUUCGACCAAUCCGUAUGCGCCACGUUAUCACGUGACUUAUGACGAUGGGGACAAGGGCUGGGUGAACUGCGACAAAGUGAGGCUUCUGCCCAUGCGCGUGGAUGAAGUUGGGGCGCGUGUUUACGCUCGGUGGACCAAUGGCCAGUUCUACCUCGGCACCGUGGAACGCGUGGGCCACAAGAUCGAGAUCAAGUACGACGAUGGAGAUCGUAUUGCGCAUGACCCAAGUGACAUCACGGCUGCUGUCAUUCUCGACAGUACCCCCAACCCAGGCUCUGUUGGCCGCGGCACCCGUGUUAUCGCUGCGUGGCCUGGGAAAGAGAAGUACUACCUGGGAACGGUUGACGCCGUCAACAAAGAUCAGAUGUACGAGCCUCAAUAUCAUGUUAAAUAUGAUGAUGGUGACGAGAGUUGGGUGACUGUGAAUCAACUAAGGGUUAUCCCCGCCCCUGGACCGGCCCCUGAAUCCCAGUUUAUGGUCGUCCAGAUUGGAGCUGAUGUGGUCGCACUGAACAGUAUUGCACAUCCCCAUUUCUACCUUGGCCUUGAGGGAGGUUAUCUCCGCGGGAAGUGGUUUGAUACGUACUGUCACUUCUACUUGCGCGAGGCUCCAAAUCAAUUCAUGUCAUUGGAAGCAUGUAUGUUGCCAGGACAACAUGUCGGUGUUGAUAGCAAGGGAAGCGUGAUGCCCCCUGCGUCAGUGUAUGCAGGAACUGAGCCUGCAAUGUUUGAGGUCAAACUACUGUUCAGCCCCUAUGGUCAGACAUACAAAGCAAACCACUCCCAAGGUGGAUACCCUCAGCCAGGAGGUCAAUUUCCCCCAGGGGGGUACCCUCAGCCAGGAGGUCAAUUUCCCCCAGGGGGUACCCUCAGCCAGGAGGUCAAUUUCCCCCAGGGGGGUACCCUCAGCCAGGAGGUCAAUUUCCCCCAGGGGGGUAUCCACAACCUGGAAUUCAUCCUCCCCCAGAGCAUGGUGAAUACCCUCCUCCAGGGGGCUACCCUGGCUAUGGAAGUGCUCCACCACCAUACUAGACAUGUGAGGUGAUAUGGUCAAAACAAACAUUCUGGUUGCAGUGUUAUAUACAUCCAAGAAAAGACAAUGAUUCAAAUUCUCUCACACAUGCCUCAAUGCCUACUUGCUUAUGAUGUCCUACGCACCUGUAGUACCGCCAAGUACUGCCCCCUCCCCUCCCUUGCUACUCAACGUGUCAGUAGCUUUACCUCACUCAUCUGCAAAAAAAACAUUGCCAAUGUUAUAUUAAACGUUAGAACCUUCUGCAACAGCUUCAGCACUGCAAUGCAUCUUUCUUUUGUACUUUCUUUUGUGUACAUUUAAAUAAAUGAAAUAAAAUUAUAAGUUAUUAUGGACACUA
Nematostella vectensis (starlet sea anemone) is the source of this 1966-nucleotide RNA transcript. RefSeq lists it as uncharacterized. The transcript has 8 exons. The record is from RefSeq and is a predicted model, not a curated record. NCBI's taxonomy places the organism in Eukaryota, Metazoa, Cnidaria, Anthozoa, Actiniaria, Edwardsiidae.